GGGGACGUUGUUGAGAUUCACAUGGAUCAGUCUUCAAAAAAACCGGCAAUCAGACAGAAUGUUGUGCAAGAGUCUAUUGAUGCUAAGAGCAAUGGUGCAGAUGUCGAGCCAACAUUUUCUGUUGGGAAAUCACCUCUGCAGGGUGGUCAGAUUGGUGAUGUGCUGGCUUCUGGAGCUGGUGGACUGGGACAGGGUACUCCAAAGAGUGAGAGGUCGGCUGACAUGUUUUGUGACGAUAUAUUUGGAGAAUCGCCUGCUGGCAUCAGGAAGAUGGGCAAAGGAGAUGGUGUGGCAGUUGAGCGCAGUGGCCUUCAUGAUAACUGGGAUGAUCCCGAAGGGUAUUAUAGUUAUCGGUUCGGAGAAAUUCUUGAUGGCCGUUACGAGAUCGUUGCUGCUCAUGGUAAAGGAGUCUUUUCUACUGUUGUCCGCGCUAAAGAUCUCAAGGCUAGACCUGGUGACCCUGAGGAAGUAGCAAUUAAAAUGAUACGCAAUAAUGAAACAAUGUAUAAAGCUGGUAUGGAAGAGUUGGUCAUACUGAAAAAACUAGUUGGUGCAGAUCCUGAAGACAAGCGCCACUGUGUUCGUUUUAUUUCUAGCUUCAAGUACCGGAAUCAUCUCUGUUUGGUUUUUGAGUCUCUUCAUAUGAAUCUCCGGGAGGUUUUGAAGAAGUUUGGACGUAACAUUGGACUCAAACUCACUGCUGUGAGGACGUACGCAAAGCAACUUUUCAUUGCUUUGAAGCAUUUAAAAAAUUGUGGUGUGCUUCAUUGUGAUAUUAAAC
RNAcentral lists this unclassified non-coding RNA (781 nucleotides) under Hevea brasiliensis (rubber tree). The record is from RNAcentral. Lineage: Eukaryota; Viridiplantae; Streptophyta; Magnoliopsida; Malpighiales; Euphorbiaceae.